UGAGGAACAUGACCUUCGGCGGGGGGAUAGCCGGCCCAACGGCCGGGUAAUACCGCGCACGACCACAUGGGGACAUCCCCGAGUGGUGAAAGCAGCAAUGCGCCGAUGGAGUGCCUCGCGGCCUAUCAGCUAGGUUGGUGAGGUAACGGCUCACCAAGGCAACGNUGCGUAGCCGACCUGAGAGGGUGAUCGGCCANAUUGGAACUGAGACACGGUCCAGACCUGUAACCGGGGA
RNAcentral lists this ribosomal RNA (235 nucleotides) under uncultured bacterium. Its description in RNAcentral is "partial 16S ribosomal RNA". It matches the Rfam family "Bacterial small subunit ribosomal RNA", at positions 118 to 348 of the family's 1533-position model. The record is from RNAcentral.